Molecule: Y RNA, 107 nt
Filed under: Carlito syrichta (Philippine tarsier)
Lineage: Eukaryota; Metazoa; Chordata; Mammalia; Primates; Tarsiidae
Description: Y RNA (ENSTSYG00000020135.2)
Rfam family: Y RNA
About the family: Y RNAs are components of the Ro ribonucleoprotein particle (Ro RNP), in association with Ro60 and La proteins. The Y RNAs and Ro60 and La proteins are well conserved, but the function of the Ro RNP is not known.
Source: Rfam by way of RNAcentral
GGCUGGUCCAAGUGCAGGGGUGUUUACAACUAAUAGAUCACAACCAGCUACAAAUACAGAUUUCUUUGUUCCUGCUCCACUCCACUGCUUCACUUGGCUAGUCUUAA